GCCCUGGUGGCCUAGUGGAUAAGGCAUUGGCCUCCUAAGCUGGGGAUUAUGGGUUCAAGUCCCAACUGGGGUA
RNAcentral lists this transfer RNA (73 nucleotides) under Tupaia belangeri chinensis (Chinese tree shrew). RNAcentral describes it as "Tupaia chinensis (Chinese tree shrew) tRNA". It matches the Rfam family "tRNA". From Rfam's summary of the family: Transfer RNA (tRNA) molecules are approximately 80 nucleotides in length. Their secondary structure includes four short double-helical elements and three loops (D, anti-codon, and T loops). Lineage: Eukaryota; Metazoa; Chordata; Mammalia; Scandentia; Tupaiidae. The record is from Rfam by way of RNAcentral.